ACGGAGCUCCAGCCAGGGCCGCGGUUCGCCUGCACGUCACGGCUACUCAAACCCAAGCACGUCCCGAAAGCGGUAUUUUCUGCGUCUGGGAGGUUUUUGCAUCCUCAGUUCCCACCGCUGGGGCUGGCGGCGACCAACUGUAAGAGAAACUCACUGGGAGGCGAGGCAGGGGGGUGCGGAGGAUGGGAAGGCGACUCUGAAGGGUGGGAAGUGAAUGCUGGACUUGAUCGUCUUUCUCUUUCUUUCAGCGCAGACCUGUCGCAGCCAGAGAGCUGUCAUUUCAGUACCGGGAUUCAGAAUUGAUCCAGUCCGCAGCGGAGGGGGCACAUCCCAGCUACCGAGCUGCUGAGUGUCUCUGGCUGGAACAAUAGUAUUUUUUUCUCUGCGAGGCUGCAAUUAACAUCUUAUUUGUUCUGGCUCCAUACAGGCUUUGUCAGGAUCGCGGUGCGGCGACCGACGUUGGGCUCUUGCAUUGCUUUGUGCUUGGCAAUGGAAUCAUGGUUUCGGGGUCUAAACUUUUGUUUCGUUUUGUAGUCUUAAUGUAUCUGAUUCUUUUUCAAGUUUCCCUAGUAACAGGUUUGGGGACGGGGUGGGAAGAAGCGAGAAAAGGGGUGAAGAGAAAAAACCAGAUUAUAUAGAAAGGAAAAAGGGAAAAGGGAUGUUUCCCCACCUUUUAAUCUAACUAUCUAUCUGUCUGUCUAUCUAUCAUCAUAGAUAGUCAUUUUGCCUCCUGGACAGUUGGCUGACGAAGUGUCUGAUAAACCAGCUUCAGAUACAUGCUACAAAAGGCUACUGAGCUGGCCUGAUGAUGAUCCUUCUGAGAUAUAUUUAUAGCAGAUGAUUUGUGGAUGAUAACUACGCCAAGCAAGACACUGUCUCCAGUAACCCCAGGCUCGUCUGACUUCCUCAGGGGAUUAUAAUAAAGAAUCACAAAAAGAACCCUAUAUGGACAGUCUGGUCUCUGGACACUAACAACAGCACAAUCCAAAGGCAAAGAAAGGAGGAACCACCUUGUUUCAUGUCUGCAAGCUGCUCCAUAUGAAAGCAUUGCUGACAUGUUGACCCAACAGCAAAAAGAGAGCAGCAGUUUACACACCCUCAGCUCUCUGUCCUUUCCUUUCUAUUGAUGUUGGUCCACUUUUAUGACUGAAUACAUAUUAAAAUCACCAUUUCAAAUUAUAAUUAUCUGCUUUCAUUGGUCUCUUUCACAAGUCUAUGUCUAUAUUUAUGUUUACAUAUAUAAACACAUAUACACAUAUUUUAUACAUACAUAUGUAU
Molecule: long non-coding RNA, 1278 nt
Filed under: Homo sapiens (human)
Lineage: Eukaryota; Metazoa; Chordata; Mammalia; Primates; Hominidae
Description: non-protein coding lnc-LMBRD1-5:20
Source: RNAcentral